RNAcentral lists this ribosomal RNA (241 nucleotides) under uncultured bacterium. RNAcentral's name for it is "partial 16S ribosomal RNA". It matches the Rfam family "Bacterial small subunit ribosomal RNA", at positions 15 to 244 of the family's 1533-position model. The record is from RNAcentral.
GAUACUGGCUCAGGAUGAACGCUAGCUACAGGCUUAACACAUGCAAGUCGAGGGGAAACGGCAUCGAAAGCUUGCUUUUGAUGGGCGUCGACCGGCGCACGGGUGAGUAACGCGUAUCCAACCUGCCUACCACUUGGGGAUAACCUUGCGAAAGUAAGACUAAUACCCAAUGACAUCCCACGAAGACAUCUGAAUGGGAUUAAAGAUUUAUCGGUGAUGGAUGGGGUAUGCGUCUGAUUAG